RNAcentral lists this ribosomal RNA (255 nucleotides) under uncultured bacterium. RNAcentral describes it as "partial 16S ribosomal RNA". It matches the Rfam family "Bacterial small subunit ribosomal RNA", at positions 524 to 776 of the family's 1533-position model. The record is from RNAcentral.
UACGUAGGGGGCGAGCGUUUGUCCGGAAUCAUUGGGCGUAAAGAGCGUGUAGGCGGCUUGGCAAGUCUGACGUGAAAGCCCGCGGCUCAACCGCGGAUUGUCGUUGGAAACUGCCCCGCUAGAGUCCGGAAGAGGAGAGCGGAAUUCCUGGUGUAGCGGUGGAAUGCGCAGAUAUCAGGAAGAACACCCGUGGCGAAAGCGGCGCACUGGACCACAUCUGACGCUGAGGCGCGAAAGCCUAGGGGAGCAAACAGG